Molecule: ribosomal RNA, 305 nt
Filed under: uncultured bacterium
Lineage: Bacteria
Description: bacterial SSU rRNA
Rfam family: Bacterial small subunit ribosomal RNA
Source: RNAcentral
AAACCUACGGGGCGCAGCAGUGGGGGAUAUUGCACAAUGGGGGGAACCCUGAUGCAGCGACGCCGCGUGGGCGAUGGAGUACUUCGGUAUGUAAAGCCCUAUCAGCAGGGAAGAAAAUGACGGUACCUGACUAAGAAGCCCCGGCUAAAUACGUGCCAGCAGCCGCGGUAAUACGUAUGGGGCAAGCGUUAUCCGGAUUUACUGGGUGUAAAGGGAGCGUAGGCGGCCUGGCAAGCCUGAUGUGAAAUACCGGGGCCCAACCCCGGAACUGCUUUGGAAACUGUACAGCUAGAGUGCAGGAGGGG